This 792-nucleotide long non-coding RNA is filed under the name Homo sapiens (human). Its description in RNAcentral is "non-protein coding LINC01679:11". Lineage: Eukaryota; Metazoa; Chordata; Mammalia; Primates; Hominidae. The record is from RNAcentral.
GAUUCCGCCUGAAUUAAGCAGUGGCGGGCACUGGCCUGGCAGGCGGCUUCUACUGCCUUGGAUUUGCACCUCUAAGGGGUCACAGGGGCCACCCCCGAAACAAGACAAAGUGUGAUCAUGGACAGGCCCUCGGGGGGCCGGAAGAAGGAACGGCUCCAGUGAUGAAAGCUGAACGCCAGCUCUCUCCCCAUCGUUCUCCCGGACCAGGAGAGGGCUGCUCGGCAGGGCUAGGUUUAAAAACCUUCCAUGCAACUUACGAAGGCAUCCACAGUGACUUCUGCUGCUGUGGAAGAGUCUCUCCCUUUUGCAAACGCCAGCCACAGAGGUUUAUUUUUCUCCCUGAGAGAAGGAAGAGUGAAGGCUGAGACUGAGACAGAAGGACAGAAGGAGAAGACUUAGAAGCCAGUGAGCCCGGAACCACGAGACGCGCUCUGAGGACACGGGGCCUCGGGGAAACCGGGCACGGGCAGGGGUUGGUCUUGGCUUCCCCGCAACAUUGCCGCGAGCUCGGGUGCCGUCUCCACUCGCAGGCUGGCCUGUCCUCUGCAGCCACGAGCUCAGGCACCGUCUCCGUUCAUAGGCCAGCCUGUUCUCUGCAGCCUGAGGUCCCUGUGGUGCCAACAUCCAGAUGCUGAGAUAAUUCUGCCAGGGUGUUGGCUGAUCGGUGAUUGGUGGUUGGCUGUUCCGUGAGUUCUGCAUUGAUCUUGCUGGCUGAGCGUCCAAUGCGGAGGGGCAGGUGCUGUUAGGGUCUCCACUCCCAUCCCUCUCCCCAGGACUCAUCACCCACUGCAA